RNAcentral lists this ribosomal RNA (509 nucleotides) under uncultured bacterium. Its description in RNAcentral is "partial 16S ribosomal RNA". It matches the Rfam family "Bacterial small subunit ribosomal RNA", at positions 28 to 523 of the family's 1533-position model. The record is from RNAcentral.
GACGAACGCUGGCGGCGUGCUUAACACAUGCAUGUGGUGCGACGAACCAGGCUUCGGCCUGGGGCGAAGCCGCGAACGGGUGAGUAACACGUGGGCAAUCUGCCCCUUUGAUCGGGACAACCCGGGGAAACCCGGGCUAAUACCGAAUGAGGUGGCGACUCAUGAGAGUCGUCACGAAAGGAAGCUUCGGCCUCCGCGAAGGGAUGAGCCCGCGGCCCAUUAGCUUGUUGGUGGGGUAAUGGCCUACCAAGGCAACGAUGGGUAGCUGGUCUGAGAGGGAGAUCAGCCACACUGGGACUGAGAAACGGCCCAGACUCCUACAGGGGGCUGCAGUGGGGAAUCUUGCGCAAUGAGCGACAGCUUGACGCAGCAACGCCGCGUGAGGGAAGAAGGCUUUCGGGUCGUAAACCUCUUUCAGUUAGGACGAAGCUUUAUUGGUUAAUAACCAAUUGGAGUGACGGUACUUUCAGAAGAAGCCCCGGCUAACUACGUGCCAGCCGCCGCGGUAA